CCUACGUGAGGCAGCAGUGGGGCAUAUUGCACAAUGGGGGAAACCCUGAUGCAGCGACGCCGCGUGAGUGAAGAAGUAUUUCGGUACGUAAAGCUCUAUCAGCAGUGAAGAAAAUGACGGUACCUGACUAAGAAGCCCCGGCUAACUACGUGCCAGCGGCCGCGGUAAUACGUAGGGGGCAAGCGUUAUCCGGAUUUACUGGGUGUAAAGGGAGCGUAGACGGCAGCGCACGUCUGGAGUGAACUCCCAUGGCUGAACCAUGGAACUGCUUUGGACACUGUUCAGCUAGAGUGCAGGAGAGGUAAGCGGAAUGCCUAGGGUAGCGGUGAAAUGCGUAGAUAGUAGGAGGAACACCAGUGGCGAAGGCGGCUUACUGGACUGUAACUGACGUUGAGGCUCGAAAGCGUGGGGAGCAAACAGGAUUAGAUACCCCUGUAGUC
Molecule: ribosomal RNA, 440 nt
Filed under: uncultured bacterium
Lineage: Bacteria
Description: partial 16S ribosomal RNA
Rfam family: Bacterial small subunit ribosomal RNA
Source: RNAcentral